This 557-nucleotide ribosomal RNA is filed under the name Microbacterium sp. EPU_2_4. RNAcentral's name for it is "bacterial SSU rRNA". It matches the Rfam family "Bacterial small subunit ribosomal RNA", at positions 664 to 1219 of the family's 1533-position model. Lineage: Bacteria; Bacillati; Actinomycetota; Actinomycetes; Micrococcales; Microbacteriaceae. The record is from RNAcentral.
GAAUUCCUGGUGUAGCGGUGGAAUGCGCAGAUAUCAGGAGGAACACCGAUGGCGAAGGCAGAUCUCUGGGCCGUAACUGACGCUGAGGAGCGAAAGGGUGGGGAGCAAACAGGCUUAGAUACCCUGGUAGUCCACCCCGUAAACGUUGGGAACUAGUUGUGGGGUCCAUUCCACGGAUUCCGUGACGCAGCUAACGCAUUAAGUUCCCCGCCUGGGGAGUACGGCCGCAAGGCUAAAACUCAAAGGAAUUGACGGGGACCCGCACAAGCGGCGGAGCAUGCGGAUUAAUUCGAUGCAACGCGAAGAACCUUACCAAGGCUUGACAUAUACGAGAACGGGCCAGAAAUGGUCAACUCUUUGGACACUCGUAAACAGGUGGUGCAUGGUUGUCGUCAGCUCGUGUCGUGAGAUGUUGGGUUAAGUCCCGCAACGAGCGCAACCCUCGUUCUAUGUUGCCAGCACGUAAUGGUGGGAACUCAUGGGAUACUGCCGGGGUCAACUCGGAGGAAGGUGGGGAUGACGUCAAAUCAUCAUGCCCCUUAUGUCUUGGGCUUCAC